AGGCCCAGUUCGCGGGGUGGGCGCGCCCGGGACGCGCGGAGUCACCCUCUGGCGGGCGAGGGGCGGCUGCCUGGGGAGGGGCGGGGCGGGAGCGGGAGAGACCGAGCCCUGGCCGCCCCUCGGCUGCCGCGUCCCUCUCCGGUAAGGGGAGCCCUUCCCCGCCUCAGGGCCGGAGACCGGCUCCCUCCCGGGACAGAGGUUGGCACGUGUGUUCCGGAGAAGGUGAAGUCAGCCCAGCACCGCGGGAGGAGGCUAGAUCACUAAAUCACCUGGUCCUCUUGGGGUUGCUGUCGGUGAGCAGCGACAUUCUGCCCGUAGAGGACUCGGCUCGGCCUGGCACGCUCAAGAUCUGUUAGCUGCCAGUACCAUCACCACCAUUACCACGACCGCCGUCACACCAGCAGCAUCCGUGAGUCUCGCCUACUUUGCUUGUCAAGCAGAGGGCUUACGGCGUGACUGUAGUCCACCUUCGCCCUCCCUCGCAGCUGCAACUUUCCAGCGUGGACCUGCUCUCUCUACUCAAGUCUAGCUGGUGUCUGCUGGAGUUUGCAUCUGUGAACCUAUUCUGCAGAGACAUCAGAAGCAAGUUCGAGGGCAUACAGCUUGCAGCUCAACCUUGAGAAUCUUCCCUGAGGAGUCAGUACAGAACAGAAAAUCCUGUUCUCUGUCGCCAGAUGCAUAGUUCAUCUGCCAGCAGCUUUUAAGUGAAAGGGCCUCAGCAGAAGCUUUGGUAGAAAAUUACUCCAAGAAGUGGAAGCUCAAAAAAAGGAUGAGCAGGCCGAGCCUGGUGGCUCACGCCUGUAAUCCCAGCACUUUAGGAGGCCAAGGCGGGUGGAUCAUGAGGUCAAGAGAUCAAGACCAUCCUGGUCAACAUGGUGAAACCCCGACUCUACUAAAUAUACAAAAAAUUAGCUGGGCAUGGUGGUGCGUGCCUGUAAUCCCAGCUACUCAGGAGGCUGAGGCAGGAGAAUUGCCUGAACCCAGGAGGCAGAGGUUGCGGUGAGCCGAGAUCACGCCAUUGCACUCCAGCCUGGGUAACAAGAGCGAAAAACUCCGUCUCAAAAAAAAAAAAAAAAAAAGGAUGAGCAAGUAUGUAUAGUUUAAUCUGUGAUUUAUUAUGUUUCUCCACAUUUCUUCCUAUAGAUUUAAGUUCUCAUCUGAUGUUAUUUCUUUAUUUUACUACAGCUUGCUUCUCAUCCACUUCUUAUGAUCAAACAUAUUACAUUAUAUUACAGGCCUAACACUAAAAUUAUAUACAUAGUUUUUGCAGUUGCUUUUAAAUAAGUUAAGAAAAAAGAUGCAGUUAUGUGUCUUUUAUAAUUACGUAUAAUUAUCUUUACUGGCAAUCUUUGUUUUUUUUUUGGAUUACUGUUAGGUGUCACUCGCUUUCAGCCUGAAGAGCUUCCUCCAGUGUUUUAUUUUAAUGUAGGUUGGCUAGCAACAGAUUCUGUUUUUAUUUUUCUGAGAAUGUUUCUAUUUAAUCUUCAUUUUUGUAGAUCAUUUUUUGUAGUCUAUUUCUCCUUUUAAUUCUGCCAAUUUUUGUUUCAUGUACUUUGGUGAUCUGUUAUUAGGUGCAAAAAUGUUUAUAAUUGCUAUGUCUUUUGCUAUUAAACUUGUUAAUUAAUAUAUAAUGCCUGCUUUGUCUCUUGUAACUUUUUGAUUUAAAUUCUACAUUGUCUUCUGUUAAUACAGCCACCCCAGCUCAUUUUGAUUACUAUUUCUAUGAAAUAUCUUUUUCCAUCCUUUCACUUUUAACCUGUUUGUGUCUUUGGACCUAACAUGAGUCUCUUACAGGUAGCAUAUAGUUGGUCUUGUUCUUUUUUUUUUUGAGAUGGAGUUUUCCUCAUCGCCCAGGCUGGAGUGCAAAGGCAUGAUCUUGGCUCACUGCAACCCUCCCAGGUUCAAAUAAUUCUCCUACCUCAGCCUUGGAGUAGCUGGGAUUACAGGUAACUGCCACCAUGCCCAGCUAAUUUUUGUAUUUUAGUAGAGACAGGGUUUCACCAUGUUGACCAGGCUGGUCUCCACUCCUGACCUCAGGUGAUCCACCUGCCUCAGCCUCCCAAAGCGUUGGGAUUAUAGACAUGAGCCACCAUGCCUGGCUGGGUCUUGUUCUUUUUUUUUUUAAAUCCAUUCCUCCAAUCUCUGUCUCUUGAUUGGAAAGUUUAAUCCAAUACAUUUAAGUAAUUAUUGACAAGGAGGGACCUACUUCUGACAUUUCACCCUUUGUUUUAUAAAUGCCUUACAGCUUUUUUUGUCCCUUACUUCCUGCAUUAGAAUUUUCUUUGGUGUUCAGUGGAUUUUUUUAUAGUGAAAUAUUUUAAUUCUUUUCUCAUUUUCUCUUGUGUAUAAUUCUAUAACUAUUUUCUUUGUGGUUGCCAUGGGGAUUACACUUCACAUUGUACGGUUAUAACAUUGUAAUUUGAUUUAUGCCAGCUUAACUUUAAUCCAUACAAAAACUGUUACCAUAACAUCCCCUCUCAUUUAUUGAUAUUUCAAAAUUACAUCUUUAUACAUUGUGUGUCCAAAAAUAAAAACUCAUAAUUAUUAUUUAUUAUUAUUAUUAUUAUUUUUUGAGACGGAGUUUCGCUCUUGUUACCCAGGCUGGAGUGCAAUGGCGUGAUCUCGGCUCACCGCAACCUCCGCCUCCUGGGUUCAGGCAAUUCUCCUGCCUCAGCCUCCCAAGUAGCUGGAAUUAUAGGCAUGCGCCACCAUGCCCAGCUAAUUUUUUGUAUUUUUAGUAGAGACGGGGUUUCACCAUGUUGACCGGGAUUGACUCAAUCUCUCCACCUCGUGAUCCACCCGUCUCGGCCUCCCAAAGUGCUGGGAUUACAGGCUUGAGCCACCGCGCCCGGCCUAAACUCAUAAUUAUUUUUAAUGCAUUAGUCUCUUAUAUAGAAAAUAUGUGAAGUUACAAACCAAAGUUACAAUAAUACUAGCCUUUAGACUAAUAAAGAUUUAGACUAAUAGGCCAAGGUUUUCUAUUUCUUCAUUGAUAUUUCCAUUUUGUUCAUACAUCAUUUUCUUGAGUUUCUUCCAUUAAAGAUACUUCCUCUAUGUAUCUUUAAUGAAAUUAUUUUAAUAUUUUUGUUUAAUAGGUAUGCCACAUGGGCCUUCUAAGUGAUAGUUGCUGUUGGUUUAUCUUUUCCCUUUGAAUGGGUCAUACUUUCCUGUUUGUAUGCCUUGUAAUUUUUGUUGAAAACUGGACAUUUGAAUCUUAUGAUGUGGUAAACCCUGGAAAUUAGGUUCUCUCCCCUCUCCAAGGUUUGUUGUUAUUUUUGUCUUGUUUUGGCUUUUAUGGUGUUAGGCUGUCUCUGUGGCAAGGAUUAGCCUGAGGUGUAAAUUUAACAUAUCAGGUCUUUUCUGAACCUUCACACUUCUCUAAGUAAGCACAGUGACUUUCUAAUUCCCCCUCAUAUGUAUAAUUGUUUUCUAAUGCCCUGGUCUUUAAUGCCUGGCUCUCAAAAGGGGAAAAAGAGAAAAACGAAGGGGGUGAGGGGAAGACACCAACCAUUUAACUUCCUUGGAAGUUGCUUUAGCUAAAGGAGAAGGGGCUUGCAACUGUCCGUGGGGUGGAUGUAACAAUGGCUGUUCACCUGUGUUUGCAUCUCCAUGAUCAGAGCAGCAAUCAGUGAUCAGACAUUAAUCCUGAUAUUUGGAUUUUGGAUAUUGCCCACCUUGGCUUCCGUAAGUCAAGUCACAUGCAAGCUGCUCCUGUAGCUUGUACACUCCUGCCAUGGGGCUGGGGAUGGAAGAUGGGUAACUGCCACCAGGCCAAGAGCUGAUAUUGACCAAAAUUAAUCCCAGUUUGUAAUCCAAACCUUACCCCUACAAGUUGCAAGCCUUCAAUAGACUCGAGUUCCAAAAUAGUUACAUCAAAUUUUGCCAGUCUCAUUUAGGCAGUGAGACAGAUUUCCAGUGCUUCCUACUCUGCCAUCUUCCCAGAAUCAGAUCCCUUUAACUUCAUGUUUGAAAGAUAAUUUAGCUACCUAUAAGAUUCUUGAUUGAGUUUUCCCUUCAGCACCUUGAAUAUGCCAUCCACUGCCUUUUGUCCUCCAUUUUUUCUAAUGAGAACAUCAGCUGUUAAUCUUGUUGCCCUUGUAACUAGUCAUUUUUCUGUUAACUACUUUUGAAUUGUUUCAGCAUUUUUUACUAUUAUGUCUGGGAGUAGAUCUCUGCAUUCAUUCGACUUGGUCUUUAUUAAGCUUCUUGAAUGUGUGCUUUUUCAUCAAACUUGAGAAAUUUCUAGUCAUUACUUCUUCAAAUAUUUUCCUGCUCUCCCCUGCCCCUCGUCUUCUAGUACUCUCAUUAUGCAUAUUUGGUGGGUUUAAUGGUGUCCCAUAUUUCUCUGGGCUUCGGUUCAUUUUUCUUCAUUCUUUUUUUUUUUCUGUUUUUCAGAUAGCAUGAUCUGUACCUCAGGUUCACUGAUUUUUCUUCUGCCAGCUUGAACUACUGUUGAGCUUCUUUAGUGAAUUUUUCAUUCUGAUAUUGCACAACUCCCGAAUUUCCAUUUAGUUCUUUUCUGUUUGUAUCUCCUCGAUAUUUUCUUUUUGUUGAGAUAUUGUCAUCAUCCCUUCCUUUGCCUCUUUAGGCAUGGUUUCCAUUAGUUCUUUUGAAUGUCCUUAUAAUGGCUGUUUUUAUUAAAAUCCUUAUUAAGUCUGGCAUCUGGCCAUCUCACAGACUAUUUCUGGUGCAAGCAUUUUUCCCCCCGUGUAUGAAACAUUUUCCUUUUUCUCUGCACAUCUCAUAACUUUUUUUUGAAAACUGGAUGUUUUAGAUCACAUACUAUAGGACGUCUAGACACUGAUUCCAGCCACCCACUCACCCUCAUUCCCUGAGGCUUGCUAUCAUUGCUUGCUCCUUAUUUUUGAAACGGGUCUGACUGUUACCCAGGCCAGAGUGCAGUGGUGUGAUCUUGGCUCACUCCAGCCUUGACCUCUCAGACUUAGUCAUCUGCCCACUGCAGCUGCUUGAGUAGCUGGGACGACAGGCACAUGCCACCACACCUAACUAAUUUUUAUUUUUAUUUUUUUGGAGACAGAAUCUGGCACUGUUGCCCAGGCUGUAGUGCAGUGGCAUGAUCUCAGCUCACUGCCACUUCCAUAUCCUCGGUUCAAGCAAUUCUAUUUCAGCUUCCCAAGUAGUUGGGACUACAAGCGUGCGCCACCACGCCCAGCUAAAUUUUUUGUAUUUUUAGUAGAGACGGGGUUUCACCAUGUUGACCAGGAUGUUUUCUUUUUUUUUCUUCUUUUUCCUUUUUUUUCUCUUUUUUUUUUUCUUCUCUUUCUGACCAGGAUGUUUUCUAUCUCCUGACCUCAUGAUCCACCUGCCUUGGCCUCCCAAAGUGCUGGAAUUACAGGCGUGAGCCACUGUGCCCGGUCAGUUUUUUUUUUUUUUAAGAGAUGGGUUUCCACCAUGUUGCCCAGGCUGGUAUUAAACUUUUGAGUUAAAGCAAUCUGCUCAUCUCAGCCUCCCAAAGUGCUGGGAUUUCAGGCAUAUGCCACUGUGCCUGGCCCUGUUUGCACCUUUAUUUCAUUACUUGGCUGUUUAUGUCUUCUUCAGUGUGAAGUCUCUAAUUUCAUUCCUUAAAAGGUGCCGCUUUAGGUAUACACAGUCACCAGGUAUAAUAGUAGUUUUGGUUGGGCCUGGUGGCUCAUGCCUGUAAUCCCAGCACUUUGGGAGGCUGAGGCGGGAGGAUCAGAAGGUCAGGAGUUCAAGACCAGCAUGGCCAACACGGUGAAACCCCAUUUCUACUAAAAACACAAAAAUUAGCUGGGCAUGGUGGUGCCCACCUGUAAUCCCAACUACUCAGGAGGGUAAUUCAGGAGAAUCAUUUGAACCUGGGAGGUGGAGGUUGCAGUGAGCCAAGAUCACACCAGGGCACUUCAGCCUGGGCUACAAAGCGAGACUCCAUCUCACAAAACAAAACAAAACA
Callithrix jacchus (white-tufted-ear marmoset) is the source of this 5932-nucleotide long non-coding RNA. RefSeq lists it as uncharacterized. The record is from RefSeq and is a predicted model, not a curated record. Lineage: Eukaryota; Metazoa; Chordata; Mammalia; Primates; Cebidae.